UACAGAGGGUGCAAGCGUUGUUCGGAAUUACUGGGCGUAAAGCGCGUGUAGGCGGCUUAGCAAGUCAGACGUGAAAUCCCUCAGCUUAACUGAGGAACUGCGCCUGAUACUGCUAGGCUUGAGUGUCGGAGGGGAUGGUGGAAUUCCCGGUGUAGAGGUGAAAUUCGUAGAUAUCGGGAGGAACACCCGUGGCGAAGGCGACCAUCUGGAAGACAACUGACGCUGAGACGCGAAAGCGUGGGUAGCAAACAGG
This 253-nucleotide ribosomal RNA is filed under the name uncultured bacterium. RNAcentral's name for it is "partial 16S ribosomal RNA". It matches the Rfam family "Bacterial small subunit ribosomal RNA", at positions 524 to 776 of the family's 1533-position model. The record is from RNAcentral.